AGGUAGUUUUUGCAAACCAUAGAGAAGAGAAAGAAUCGAAUGUUUACAUUAACCAAAUUUACGUUGCACAAGAACUAAUAUUAAUAUUUUAUUUUUCUAAAUAUUAUUUUAUAACAGACAAGCAGCGUGAGCGAAAUUGAAAAAAAAUUUAUUCAUCAACUGUAUUUAUACUUUCAUUCAAGAAAGAUUAAAUCGUAAGAAUUAAUUGUGUUCUUGGAUGACCUUACUACUCACACAAGUACAACUAAAUAAUAUAAAAUAUAAAAAAAAAAAAUAAAUAAAAUGAGUCUGAAUUAAUUUAUUUCAAUUUUUUUAAUUGUUUAUGAACGAUAACUGUUCAACGAGUGAAUAAACUUUCCAUGAACGUGUGGAUGAGUUUUUAUUAUAAUUUUAUUUAAUUCAGAAAUUUAACUGGAUAAAAUUUCUGAUCUUAAUUCCAACCGAUGCAAAUUGAAUCUAGAUCGAUCAAUUCUUUUUAGAGAAUAUAAAAUCAUUGCACUACAUAAUGUUAGAGCAUCAGAAAUACGAAAUUAAAAGAAAAUUUUCAUCACGAAUUGAUCAGGUUUUAACUUAUAGAGAAUACUGCAUAAGCACGAUGUCUUUUCGAUUUUAUUCAAAAUUUCUGAUUUAACUAUUGUGGAUACAACGCUAAUGAUUUUAUUUAAUUUUAUAAAUAAUUGAAUUUAUUCAAAAUCCUUGAUCCUGAUUUGAGUAAAUAAAUUAUCAUAUGUACAGUUAUAAAAACCUAUUCGAUGGAGGAUGGAAAUUUCUGUAACUAAAAUUCUGACUUAACUUCCGUGACAUCAACAAAAAAGCCUAAAAUAAAUUUCAUGCAGAGUUAAAUUACCUACAACUUCAAUCCUAUAUAUAUCUGUCGUAUUUUGAAUCAUUUAGCUGAAAUUUUUGUUUAGUUUCAUCGACACCAAGUAAAAUAUUUAUCAUUUUUUAAAUUAAAAUUAAAGUUGAACGAUCAAAGUUACAUCAGAAAUAUACUAAGUGAAUUUUACGAAGAACUGAAUCAUCACCAACAAAGACAUUUCUUAUUAUAUUUUCUUUUAACUUAAGAUUUUGAUUCAUUAUCUGUCAGACAUGAAGAAAACGCUAAAAUAAAUUUCAGAGAAAAUUAAAUUCUUAAAAACUUCAAUUGAAUUUUCCUGAGUACUUGAUUAUUUCACUGAAAUUAUUAUUUGCUGGUCUCUGUACAGUUUAUGGUGGAAGCCGAUUUUUUUUAUCUUAUUCAAUUAUGAAACUCUAGAUGAACUUUCUUUAGAUGAAUAAAUAUUUAAUCGUGCAUCAACUAGAACUUCGAUUCAAUGUUAUCUAUAUCGCAAUUUAUAGAAAGCCACAAGGACAAGAUGUUUUUUUUAUUUGUUCCAAAAUCUGGGCUGAACUAUCGAUGAUGAUAUUAAAUACCAAAUCAUAAAAAAAAAUAGAAUUUUGAUUAAACAUAAUUCUAUUGCAUGAAAUCUUUGAUCAUUCAGUAAAAAUUAAAAAUGUGUUUUUCUGAAAGUCAAUAUGAAUGAAAAUUAACAAAAAAUAAUUAUAUUUAUCGAUGAUAUUAAAAUUGUUGCUGACCUGUUGGAGAAAUAAAUUAAUAAUGUGAACAACUUUUGGAGAGAUAUUAAAUGAGGUCGUAGGAAAUUUGAUAAAAAAUUAUGUUCUUUAAAAAUAUGCCAACGUGUCAGUCAAAAUUCUCGCUAAAUCAUGAUACACACAUCUACAAUAAAUCAGUACAAUUUUGUGAAAAAUUAUUUUGUCCAUAAGAAAGUUUUCGAAUACGUUGCUCGUAAACUCAACAGUUCGGCUGUAAUAUUUAGUCUAAUGAGGUAAUAAAGAAUUCAAUGAAAAAUUAGUUAUUUAGAAAUCUGCCAGCAUGUCAAUCACAAUACUCGCUAAGCUAUAAGAGAUACGUCUCAAAUGAAUCAGUUCAAUUUUGUCAGAAAUUAUUUGAUCUAGAAAAAAUUUUUCAAUAACAUUGCUCGUAAACUCAACAGAUCGGAUGUAAUUUCUAGUAUAAUAAGUAAAGUGGGCCAAAAGAAAGAACUAAUUUUUUUUUUUCGUUAGCUAACGUAAAAAUCUGGUUAAAAAUGAUGAAAAAAAAUAACAGUAAAGUUUGAGUUCUUAAUGUUUACAUUAAGAAGCGCCUCUUCGUAAUUUUUCAUUUCCCAUUUGAAUAACAGGAAAAAAAUAUUUUAAGUAUGGAAUUUUAUACCUUGGCCCUGGCUUAUUGUACAGAUAAAUUCAGAAUAUAGUUUUGUAGGGAAUUGAACG
Microplitis mediator is the source of this 2271-nucleotide long non-coding RNA. RefSeq lists it as uncharacterized. The record is from RefSeq and is a predicted model, not a curated record. NCBI's taxonomy places the organism in Eukaryota, Metazoa, Arthropoda, Insecta, Hymenoptera, Braconidae. The transcript has 3 exons.